RNAcentral lists this ribosomal RNA (770 nucleotides) under uncultured Eubacterium sp. RNAcentral describes it as "bacterial SSU rRNA". It matches the Rfam family "Bacterial small subunit ribosomal RNA", at positions 64 to 847 of the family's 1533-position model. The record is from RNAcentral. Lineage: Bacteria; Bacillati; Bacillota; Clostridia; Eubacteriales; Eubacteriaceae.
AGACGGAAACCUUCGGGCGGAAGGCUUCAUUUCGAGUGGCGGACGGGUGAGUAACGCGUGGGUAACCUGCCUCAUACAGGGGGAUAACAGUUGGAAACGACUGUUAAUACCGCAUAAGACCACAGCACCGCAUGGUGCAGGGGUAAAAACUCCGGUGGUAUGAGAUGGACCCGCGUUCGAUUAGCCAGUUGGCGGGGUAACGGCCCACCAAAGCGACGAUCGAUAGCCGAUCUGAGAGGAUGACCGGCCACAUUGGGACUGAGACACGGCCCAAACUCCUACGGGAGGCAGCAGUGGGGAAUAUUGCACAAUGGGGGAAACCCUGAUGCAGCGACGCCGCGUGAGUGAAGAAGUACUUCGGUAUGUAAAGCUCUAUCAGCAGGGAAGAAAAUGACGGUACCUGAGUAAGAAGCCCCGGCUAACUACGUGCCAGCAGCCGCGGUAAUACGUAGGGGGCAAGCGUUAUCCGGAUUUACUGGGUGUAAAGGGAGCGCAGACGGUUGCGCAAGUCUGAAGUGAAAUCCCGAGGCUUAACCACGGGACUGCUUUGGAAACUGUGCGACUUGAGUAUCGGAGGGGCAGGCGGAAUUCCUAGUGCAGCGGUGAAAUGCGUAGAUAUUAGGAAGAACACCGGUGGCGAUAGGCGGCUUGCUGGACGAAAACUGACGUUGAGGCUCGAAGGCGUGGGGAGCAAACAGGAUUAGAUACCCUGGUAGUCCACGCGGUAAACGAUGAAUACUAGGUGUUGGUGCCCAAAGGGCAUCGGUGCC